CAUAUAUGUAUUAUUAAAUUAAAAAAUGACACACAUAUUGGCUCUGUGGUAUGUAUAUCUGGAAAUACCGGUGUCACACUUGAGAUGAUUCCACUGGUCACAGC
Long non-coding RNA from Thalassophryne amazonica, 104 nucleotides. RefSeq lists it as uncharacterized. The record is from RefSeq and is a predicted model, not a curated record. The transcript has 3 exons. NCBI's taxonomy places the organism in Eukaryota, Metazoa, Chordata, Actinopteri, Batrachoidiformes, Batrachoididae.